AUGCCUACACAGAGGUCAGAUCUGUACCUUCAGAGAUUAGCUCCAUGCUUGAUCAAGGACUCUGCCCUUACCUGCUGCCAAAGAGAAAAGUUGCUGGGAAGACUCUUGCUGUCUAAUCCACUGUUCCUUGGAGCAAGAGACCACCCCGCACAGGGAGGGGGGAAUUUAGCUAUUGAUAGACUUAGCACAUAUCUAGCCGUAUGCCCAGAACACAACACUGCCUCCAACCUCCUCUUUAAGUCAAGUUACUUCUUAACACUAUAAGUAAAAUACAAGGUGUUCGUACGUCUGCAUGGUCAAACAGGAAGCUUCUCCUGUUACAGUAAUCUUUCUUUGGAUUAAAGUUUCCCUUAAGGAAAAACACCAAUAUCUAUCGUGAUUGCCAAAUGUAGAGCUUAUUUUAAAUGUGACUUAGUCAUCUAGAAUGCCAUAGCAACUACUGAUGAGAGUCUGAUUAUUAACAAAAUAGAAAAAGAGGACUAAUUUUAUAGAUAAAUGUAAGGAUGAAUUACUGAAGUUCCAAAAUCAAUGUCUGAUUCUAAACACAGUAACAAAUCUUUCCAUUCAGGAUUAAGAUGUCUUUAAGAGUUGAAACGAUUUUUGGAGGUCAUCCAGCCCAACUUCCAUCCAGAUAUCACGCCUCUCACAUAUAGUAGUCUUCUGAAUUAUAAAAAUUUAUAAAGUUAUUUUUUUAAAGAAAAGCUACAUAAAUAAAAAUUAUCUCUAUAUAUAGAAAUACCUAUUCAGCAAUCCCAUAAUUUAAAUAUUCAAAUUAAACUGGGUAGAACUGGUUCCUUCUCACCCCUACAGACUGUAUUUACACACUAACACAUCAAAUUACGUUUAAAUAAUAGUACUACUUGACUGAAAUGGAGAAAAAGUGUUCUAACACAGUCCCUAAUAUUUUCAUAAACCUAAAACUGUAAAUCACAUAAGUGAAUUGUAUAUUGAACUGUAAAAAAAAAAAAAAAAAAAAAAAGUAACUUGCUAAUCUGGACAAUGGUCUCAUUUAAGGUUUGAUUCUGGAAUGUAAAUACGGUUUUUCAAAAUAAUAAAAUCUCUUGUAGAUAGUCUAUGUAUUAAUCGUUUACAAGGACUAUGAAUCCAUCGCAUCACAAAUGGGAAGCUCUAGUGAUUAACCAAAUGUGCCCAACACAGAAAAUAACUCUAUUUGGUCAAAAGUAUAAAAGGUCUGACCUUAUUCGAAAUAUGAAAAAGCUGAGUAUUUGAAAGAUAUAUGAAAAUACUCAGCAAAGACACUGUGAAAACCUGAAUAACAAAGUAACUUUCUAAAAAAAUUAUUUUAGGCCACAGUAUAUAACAGAACUUAUUGCUAUUUGAAAUAUCAUUAAAAAUAGGUUUAUAUAUAGAAGAGAUUAUGUAUCAGUAAUACUAAUAUAAAACGAUAUGCUCCUUUUAGAAGACAUACUCUCUAGAUCUCAUUUCUAAAACUCUGUAUUGUGAUUUCCAAAAUUUCUGU
Molecule: long non-coding RNA, 1480 nt
Filed under: Canis lupus familiaris (dog)
Lineage: Eukaryota; Metazoa; Chordata; Mammalia; Carnivora; Canidae
Description: lncRNA (ENSCAFG00030008157.1)
Source: RNAcentral